CCUGCCUCUCCGUGAUGAAGUAUUUGCGGAUGUAAAUGAGCAUAGCUCGUCAACCCGAGAGCGCAUAACAACCGUGUGGAUGUUUCCGCUGCCUUCCUUCUGACUUCUGCAU
This 112-nucleotide small nucleolar RNA is filed under the name Daedalea quercina L-15889. Its description in RNAcentral is "Small nucleolar RNA Z13/snr52". It matches the Rfam family "Small nucleolar RNA Z13/snr52". Rfam says of the family: Z13 or snr52 is a member of the C/D class of snoRNA which contain the C (UGAUGA) and D (CUGA) box motifs. Most of the members of the box C/D family function in directing site-specific 2'-O-methylation of substrate RNAs. Lineage: Eukaryota; Fungi; Basidiomycota; Agaricomycetes; Polyporales; Fomitopsidaceae. The record is from Rfam by way of RNAcentral.